Molecule: non-coding RNA, 45 nt
Filed under: Schistosoma curassoni
Lineage: Eukaryota; Metazoa; Platyhelminthes; Trematoda; Strigeidida; Schistosomatidae
Source: RNAcentral
AUCCAGUUGACGAGUCCCAAAUAGGACGAAACGUACAUCCUGAAU